GUUACUGACUAUUUAAGCCUAUUUCUGAUAUGACAAGAUUUAAAUCCAGUGGAAGAGCUUGUCUGAUAAUGUACAUCUUCUUUCUUUUUUUUUUUUUUAUUUUGUAGAAAAACAUAGAAAUUUGUGGCAGAAAAAAACCAGAGGCUUGGCCAAACUAUGCUUUCUUAGGAACCGGGCUAAAUAGGAGCAGAAGCUAUUCUGUGUAGCUGUGAGUUCAAGAAAUACUUGAGAUAAUUACUGGAGGUCCUCUGAGAAUAAAAUUUGUACUUGAAAAAGAUCGUCAGAAUGGACAGAUGGUUGAAGCACUGAGACCCAUUAAGCUCUGAAUUAGGAACAGCCAAGAAGGGAAAUUUCUAGUUGUUUCUCUGACCAGUUCUCUGAGUUGCUGCUCUUCAGUUGUUUUCUAGAACAAAAUGGUUGUCAUUUGAGAACAGGUCAGCAGUGAGUUCUCUGCUGACCUGAAAGUAAAGUGAAAUGGAACUACAGAAAGAAUUUCUGAAAACUAAAGUAUCAAGAGUGAGCAUCAAGAAAAAGAAUGGAACAGAAAGGAAAGGCAGAUUGAGGAAAUACGAGGCUGAAUUUGGGAAGUGAAGUUGACAAGCUGACAGGAAGUUAACACUGUGCUGAUAAAGGCAAGUAAGGAAAAGGUGAAGAACUAAUUAUACAAAAUGAAGCCCCAUGUUUGGAAGCUGUGCUCAGCAGGCAGAGCUCUGUUGACUUAACCAGAUGAAAUUCCUGCAGAAAGCCUUCUCCUUUGCCAGUCGAGUAAGUCUAAUAGCCUUUCAGGCUAAAACAAACUUUUAAGGAUUUGUAACAACAGCUUACUAUGGUACUACAGAGACAACAACAUGUCCAUAA
RNAcentral lists this long non-coding RNA (858 nucleotides) under Calidris pugnax (ruff). Its description in RNAcentral is "lncRNA (ENSCPUG00000002748.1)". Lineage: Eukaryota; Metazoa; Chordata; Aves; Charadriiformes; Scolopacidae. The record is from RNAcentral.